UACGGAGGGUGCAAGCGUUAUCCGGAUUUACUGGGUUUAAAGGGUGUGUAGGCGGGGCUUUAAGUCAGUGGUGAAAUCUCCGAGCUCAACUUGGAAACUGCCAUUGAUACUAUCGAUCUUGAAUUUUGUUGAGGUAGGCGGAAUAAGUCAUGUAGCGGUGAAAUGCAUAGAUAUGACUUAGAACACCAAUUGCGAAGGCAGCUUACUAAGCAAAUAUUGACGCUGAGGCACGAAAGCGUGGGGAUCAAACAGG
This 253-nucleotide ribosomal RNA is filed under the name uncultured bacterium. RNAcentral describes it as "partial 16S ribosomal RNA". It matches the Rfam family "Bacterial small subunit ribosomal RNA", at positions 524 to 776 of the family's 1533-position model. The record is from RNAcentral.